This 492-nucleotide ribosomal RNA is filed under the name uncultured bacterium. Its description in RNAcentral is "bacterial SSU rRNA". It matches the Rfam family "Bacterial small subunit ribosomal RNA", at positions 43 to 524 of the family's 1533-position model. The record is from RNAcentral.
CAGGCCUAACACAUGCAAGUCGAGCGGGGAAGGGUAGCUUGCUACCUGACCUAGCGGCGGACGGGUGAGUAAUGCUUAGGAAUCUGCCUAUUAGUGGGGGACAACAUUCCGAAAGGAAUGCUAAUACCGCAUACGCCCUACGGGGGAAAGCAGGGGAGCUUCGGACCUUGCGCUAAAAGAUGAGCUGAAUACGGAUUAGCGAGUUGGAAGGUGAAAGGCCGACCAAGGCGACGUGAUUAAGCGGGGCUGAGAGGAUGGACCGCCACACUGGGACUUGAGACACGGCCCAGAUGCCAACGGGAGGCAGCAUAGGGGAAGAUUGGGACAAAGGGGGGAGCCUUGGACCAGCCAUGCCGCGUGUUUGAAGAAGGCCUUGUUGGUUUGAAAGCACUUAAAGCGAGGAGGAGGCGACCGAGAUGAAGACUUGAGGAGAGGGGACGUGACGAGCCAGAAGAAGCACCGGCGAAACGAGUUGCCACUAGCCGCGGGAAG